Molecule: long non-coding RNA, 624 nt
Organism: Zonotrichia leucophrys gambelii
Lineage: Eukaryota; Metazoa; Chordata; Aves; Passeriformes; Passerellidae
Exons: 3
Source: RefSeq, a predicted model, not a curated record
AACCAUCAGGUGGAGCAAGUGUUUACUUUAAAAUGUCUGCUCUCCAGCACUGCCUUGUAGGUGCACAGUUUGUGGUGACUGGGAGUGGGGCUGAGCCUCAUCCCCAGUGGGCACAGCUGUGAGCAGCAGGGGAGCAGCACUGCCAGCAAUGAGCCAGGGAGUGCCCAGGGGCACUGACCAACACCCGAGGGCACAGAGGGCACUCAGGUGCAGUGCAUCAACAGGAGGGGAUAAAAGGCUGGGCUAAAGAACAACAAAGAGCAGAGAUCUGCAGCCUUCUGCAGCGAUGUUCCUCUGUAUGGGCAGAGGCCUGAAGCCUUCUGAUGAGGAAAACCUUAUUUGUAAAGUAAGUGAAAAGGUUUAUUGCUGCUUGUUCAUGUCUCUUCAAGAUGUCCUUCUCUGAGAAAGCUUGAGGAAAAAAAGCUUUAAACAGCCCUAAAAUGAAAAUAAAAUGUCACAACUGCGUUACAGUAUGAAAUAUAUGUCAGGAAGCUUGCAAUGGGACUUUUCUCUCCUAAAGGAUGUAGAAGUUCCAGCUUGGUAUUUCCCAGCUCCACAAAAACAGUGUAGACACCAUGUUCAGGAAGAGCAACAGUCUCACUCACCUGGGCUCCUAACACAUCU